AACGAACGCUGGCGGCAUGCCUAACACAUGCAAGUCGAACGAGACCUUCGGGUCUAGUGGCGCACGGGUGCGUAACGCGUGGGAACCUGCCCUUAGGUUCGGAAUAACUCCCCGAAAGGGGUGCUAAUACCGGAUAAUUUCUUCGGACCAAAGAUUUAUCGCCUUUGGAUGGGCCCGCGUUGGAUUAGCUAGUUGGUAGGGUAAAAGCCUACCAAGGCGACGAUCCAUAGCUGGUCUGAGAGGAUGAUCAGCCACACUGGGACUGAGACACGGCCCAGACUCCUACGGGAGGCAGCAGUGGGGAAUAUUGGACAAUGGGCGAAAGCCUGAUCCAGCAAUGCCGCGUGAGUGAUGAAGGCGUUAGGGUUGUAAAGCUCUUUUACCCGGGAUGAUAAUGACAGUACCGGGAGAAUAAGCUCCGGCUAACUCCGUG
RNAcentral lists this ribosomal RNA (433 nucleotides) under uncultured bacterium. RNAcentral's name for it is "partial 16S ribosomal RNA". It matches the Rfam family "Bacterial small subunit ribosomal RNA", at positions 29 to 507 of the family's 1533-position model. The record is from RNAcentral.